GACAGAGGGUGCAAACGUUGUUCGGAAUUACUGGGCGUAAAGCGCGUGUAGGCGGCUCUGUAAGUCGGGUGUGAAAUCCCACGGCUCAACCGUGGAAGUGCACUCGAAAACUACAGGGCUAGAGUCCUGGAGAGGAAGGUGGAAUGCUUGGUGUAGAGGUGAAAUUCGUAGAUAUCAAGCGGAACACCGGUGGCGAAGGCGGCCUCUGGACAGUGACUGACGCUGAGACGCGAAAGCGUGGGGAGCAAACAGG
This 253-nucleotide ribosomal RNA is filed under the name uncultured bacterium. RNAcentral's name for it is "partial 16S ribosomal RNA". It matches the Rfam family "Bacterial small subunit ribosomal RNA", at positions 524 to 776 of the family's 1533-position model. The record is from RNAcentral.